Clarias gariepinus (North African catfish) is the source of this 155-nucleotide ribosomal RNA. RefSeq annotates it as 5.8S ribosomal RNA. The record is from RefSeq and is a predicted model, not a curated record. Lineage: Eukaryota; Metazoa; Chordata; Actinopteri; Siluriformes; Clariidae. The transcript has a single exon.
AACUCUUUGCGGUGGAUCACUCAGCUCAUGCGUCAAUGAAGAACGCAGCCAGCUGCGAGAACUAAUGUGAAUCGCAGGACACAUUGAUCAUCAACACUUCAAACGCACAUUACGGUCCUUGGGUCCCUCCUGGGGCUACGCCUGCCUUAGAGUCG